Molecule: RNA transcript, 6031 nt
Organism: Triticum aestivum (bread wheat)
Lineage: Eukaryota; Viridiplantae; Streptophyta; Magnoliopsida; Poales; Poaceae
Exons: 2
Source: RefSeq, a predicted model, not a curated record
ACUACUGUGCGCAUUUUUAUCAGUGAUAGAUUUUUUUGCUUGGGUCGUCGGCGGGUUCGCCGGCCGCGGUCGGCGCUGGCGUCCUGUCUAGUUUGCUCGCCUGAUCGGCCCCAUGAGAGUGGCUGCGCCAGUGGCUCUCGUUGACAACGUACAUCAGUAACCUCAGGAAGUCGUUCCUCGCGAACCACAUCGCAACGCCGGCUGUAGCGGCAGCCAUCCGGCCGUUCCCCUUUGCCGUGUGGUAGGUCGUCCCCGGUGAAUCUGCAAUCUCCUCCGAUGCCCGCGUUGUUGAGCGGAGUUUCCGCAUCCAGCAAAAGCGGCGGCGACUCUUAUCCAUCCCCAUUUUCGUUUGACCCUGUGUUUGUACGAACAGGUGCAUAUCUUUCCUUUGCCUUACCAUGUCCUCUCUCUAUGAAAUAAAUUUCAGGCAUGCAUAGCACGGUUAUCAAAUUACUGUUUCUAAUAUUUUAUCUAGCAAUUAGACUCUUGGAAUUUUCUAUUAUUUGUUAAAUCAGAUCUGAAUUGCUAGGGAAGAAAGAAAGGUUAUAGUAAUUGAUAAAAGCACAUACGUGAUGCAUACAUAACUGAUAUUGAUUUCUGUCAAAUCAGUUGUGAGCCCUCCAUCAGGUAUCUGUGUGAAUACAUUGUCUUAUGAAUGUAUUUCCACUAUUUUGAAAAUAAAGUACAGUGGCCGUCCUCUUACAGUCAGAGAGAGCUUAAAUAUAGUUCAAUCUUCAGAGAAACACCAUAAAAAAGUCAAGGGCCCAAGCUCACAAACACUAUAUUUGGGUUUGUUAAAUGGAUGCAUCAAAACAUUGAGUUUGCUAGAAAUUCUAAAAUCAGACUAAAUUAAAUAAUGACUAUAGACUAUAUACGAAUAUAAUAAGAUACCCAAAAGUAAAUAAAUUUUGUUCUGUUAAAAUAUUUCAGAUAUAUCAAUUUGAAACCAAAUAAGGCUGCUAUGUCUGCAUCACAUUAUAUUUAGUCAUAUCAGAAUGCUUGUAACAAAAUCUAUAAUAUAUCCUUGUAAACAAUGUUUUUUGCAACCUUGUCGGAUGGACAUUUCAUCUGAGAUGAGUAUCUUCAAUCCAUUUCUGCUGGUCACCCUUGACAUUGCAACAUAGAGUUGUCCAUGUGUGAACACUUGCCUUUCUAAGUAGAGUAGAACUUUUUUGAGAGAUUGCCCCUGGCUUUUGUUUAUAGUCAUAGCAAAGCACACUGAUAUUGGGUAUUGUCUCCUUUUAAGAAUGAAAGGCCAUUUUGAAUCACUUGGUGACAUGAUAAUUCGUGGGAUGUAAACUUUGUCACCAACGUUAGGACCUGUUAUGACCUGGCCUUCAAUGAAACGCUUUCCUAGCUGUGUUAUUGUUAGUCUUGUCCCAUUGCAAAGUCUUGCACUUUGAUUGAUGUUCCUCAUAAGCAUUAUUGGUAAUCCUACUUUCAGGCUCAGUUCAUGGUCUGGUAUUCCAGAAAAUGUAAGACUAUUCAGAAACUCAGUUGGGGAUUUGACUCAUGAUGUAGGCAUUAAUCUGGUCAACAGUCUCGUUUCUUGGGCACAAGAUCGCUCUUUCCUCAAGGUAUGUUCUAUCAGUGUAUUUUCUGUGUAAGUCAGGAUAGGUGGUGUUAACAAUAGAUGCUUUCGGGUCAUCCCCUUCAUGUAAAAUAAGGUCCUCUGGGAUGCUAACCCAAUCCUCUUCAUCUAUUGUUGACGUUGUGCCAUCGCCUAUGUUUAGUAUCCAGUUUGCGAAUUCAGCUGUUUUUGCUUUCUCUUCUGGACUACCUUCGGAUGAAUUCAGACGCAUAUUUUCUUUGAGUCGGUACUCCUCAAAGUUCUUCCAUAGGUAGGAUCUCUUUAUUGAUGCAGAAAUGAUAUGUUCCCUUUUCCCCUUUGGUAUAACUGGUAGGAUUUGCCUGAAGUCACCUCCCAAGACUACUGUCAUUCCUCCAAAUGGUCUAUGCUCUGCGUCCUCAUAUGUGAAUCGAAGUAUGUCUCUCAAACUCUUAUCUAGUGCCUCAAAACAGUGCUUGUGUGUCAUAGGUGCUUCAUCCCAUAUUAUCAGUGACGUUUUCUUUAUUAGCUCCGCAAGAAAUGUUCCUUGCUUGAUGUUGCAUGUGGACUCGUUAGUGAUCUUGAGGGGAAUGUGAAAUCUUGAAUGAGCUGUUCUUCCACCCUGUAAAAGAAGUGCUGCUAUACCACUUGAAGCAACUGCUAGAACUAUUUUUCCUUCAGAUCUUAAUUUUGUCAUGACUGCUUUCCACAGAAAUGUCUUUCCAGUUCCACCAUAUCCGUCAACAAAAAUCAAUUUUCCAAGACUGUCGUUGACUGAUUCUAUUAUAACGUCAAAAGCCAUCCUCUGAUCCUGAUUUAGCUUAUGCAGUAACUUCAUGUGUUCUAUUCUUAAAGAAUCUUUAUCAUAGUUUAGUUCCUCAUUUACUAAUCUAUUAUUUAGAUCUUGAAGAAUUGAACUAUCUGGUAGUGGCAUUCCUGGAAAAUCUUUGAGGGACUUACUACCUUUAGUCAAUAGUUGUUCUAUCUCUGCCAGGAGCAGGCUCUUUAUUUGUGCCGAGUUGAGUUCCAGGGCCUGAAAAUUGAAUAUUCUUCUUUGCCGACGUUGGAUAUCCUCAUAUAGUAACUCCCAAUUUGUUUGCCACAACUUUGCGGGAUCCAUCACCUCACAAAAUAAAAGUAUUGUGCAGAAAAGUUGGCGCAUUUGAGGAGUGGAGGCCCAAUGGGAUGCUUCCUUGAUGCAGUCAUCCCACUCUUUGUCAUCAUUAAGUAGCCCAAGAGCAUAACAUGUGGAUUUGAAUGUUGGAUGUACAACCCCAUCAACUGUUCGAAUUUCUUCAUAUGAUCUGCAUCCUUUGACGGUAUUUAACAGCAUUCUCAAGUAGUAUUUUUCACCGCUCGUUGGUUGUGCAUAGUAAAUCCUGCCUAUGGUUUUUUUCCACCACGCCUUUUCCUCCAUUCUUUCUCUUGUGCAUGCCAAGUCCAUUUGGUUGGAAACUAUGCAUACGUCAAUCUGCGAGCUUCUUCAUGCAACUAGUUGGCUGUCAUCCAUUCUGUGAACAUUGUCUUUUCUAUGUUAGGCCGGGAUACAAUUUGAUCUAAAUCCAUUGAGUCCGGGAACACCACAACAUGUUCAUUUUCUAGGUGAAAUUGUAACCUUUCAACCGCAGGCUCUCUGUACUAAAGAGGAAACUGAAAUAUGCGCCAUGCGGCUUCACAUCCAGAUAUGUACCGGGCAUCAAGGUACCUCUUGAUUUUUUCGUCCCUGUUUGUUAAUUUGCUAGCUCUUGUUUCACUUUGUUGGUCUUCCGCUUCUAUCAAGACGGUUGUUCGAUCUUCUCCUUUGUGGAUGUAUUUGAAUAAAUACUUUAUAGACCUUGAUUUGCUGCACCACUCAACAUUUAUGUGGGCUUGAUACUUGACCAGUAGGUUUCUAUUGUAUGGCACAACAAAUCUAUUGUCUAGCUUCACUCCAUUCUUGUCCACAGUGUUGCCAUCAUCUUGCCUUCUAUGUACUGGAUAGUUAUCUUCAUCUAUGGUAGUCUCAGUGCAAAAAUUCUUGGGGAAAUGUUUGGCACAACUUUUAUCGACAAUGCAUGGUGAUUUUGGGUGUGCUUGACCACAUGGACCAUGUAUCAUGUAAUUUUGCACUGCUUCGUACCCUUCUGGAUCACUAUUCUUAUCAGGAAUUUCGGCUGAUAUGAUUUUGUCGAUCUGGGAAGGACUUGGAUCUUUAUCAUCUGGGUGUAGAAACACCAGUAUGUGUGCAUGCGGGAGGCCUCUUUUCUGGAACUCUAUAGUGUAGACAACUUUAUGAAAGUAAACAAAUUUGAGAAGAAAUGAGUUAGGACAAUCAUCUAGGAAAGAGUGAAUAUGUACUUAUUAGGUAAACUUACUUGCAAUUGUUUGUCCAAAACACUUUCCGUUCUUUAUGUCAUUCAUAAGUUCCUUCAGUUUUAACAUGAAUACUCUGGCAACGAUAUCUGGACGAUCUUCAGGUUUCUGGCCUGGAAUCAGAUCCAACAUAUCUUGUAUUUCCAGCCAUUUUGGAUUGCAUGUAAAAGUAAUGAAGAGAUCAGGAUAGCCAGCCCAACGACAAAUCGCCAUGGCAUCUUGGUAGUUUUGCUGCUUAUUUCUUGGACUGCCAUUAUAUGAUGAGGGUAGUAUGAUUCUUUGUCCAACUUGUUCGGUUCGUGUAUCUCCAUUUUCUAUUGCAUCAUGCAGUCCUCUGUACAGUUCUGUCCUCAACUUACCUUGGUUUGUCCUGUACCAAUUUAGUCUCCAUUGUUCAAUGCACGUUGCUGCAUCAACUAAGAACUGCAGGAACAAACGUCCACUCAUUUGCAAUGUUGAAGCUUGGUUCAGACCUUGUUGUAUGCGAUACGCAUAAAACUCCAGCAUUGUUACAUACUUUCUUUUACCUUUGUUGCCUCUUUUAUUUUCAUACUCUAUUUCUGGUCUGAAACCAUCUUCUCCAUAUGGAAAAAGCAAGGGGUACUGCAUUGACAUAUAGCUUGGGUGCAACUCUGAAAUCCUCUGUAACAUUCUGUCUUUGGUCUCAACUAUUAUAUCAAAUUCAUUAUUUUCUCCAUCUUGUUCCCCAAUAAUUAGUGCUGCGACUUCUGAGGCAGAUGGUAGGUUGUAUUGCCGUCCAUCUUUCGACCUUUUGUUGAUCAAUCUUAGUCUUACAUCUUUAAUACGUCGGUUUUGGAAUCUGUCCCUUGCCAUACGAAAUGAUUUGACUAAAACAUUGUGCUCAUCAAGCAUCUCCAGUAGUCCUUUGACAAUGUUUUCAUCUGGUUGUGUCUUACUCUCCGUUGAAGCAGAUGCAUUAAUCCUAUUCCGCACUUCAUUUUAUGUGUCAUGUAUGUACAAUUGGGCAAAUUUUGGUUUCGUCACGCCAUCCUUAGGAAGUAAAGUGCCAAUCUGAUGGUAAUUCUGGCCAUUCAAACGGAAAACAUACGGUCCAGAUGCCUGCUUAUUAAUUUCAUAGUCAACCUUUCCUCCCAUUGAAGUGAAUGCGAACAUCGAGUUGUACAACCUGAUGUUCUGGCGGAAAUUUGAUGAUUCUCUUCUUUCAUUGUAACGUAGUAGCUGUCGGAGAUACAGCGGAGCUUGCUUCAGUGGUGGCAAUUUAACUUUCCCUUCCUUGCAGCAGAGACCAAAUUUUGGAACUGUGAUGUUACCUGUGCUUGUGCUUCUCUCUCCAUGCCACAUAAUGGCAUUGCAAAAUUCACAAACACAAUUUGGUUUUCCCAGAUAUGAAACUUGAGUGACAUCCUUCGCUACAUUAGAUACUUCACAGUCAUUGCCCUUUUCUGUCCUUAGUCGUUUGCUUGCCUUUUUCAGCUGGAGGAUCUCUUUCCUUUUCCGCCUAGCUUCCUUUGCUGCUGCUCUAAUGAUGUCUGAUUGACUAUCAUUAGAUUCGAGUGUUGCUAGUUUAGAGGCUGCUUGCUCAGGUAUUUGGAUUCCUUGAUGAUGCCACAUAUUCCUGCAUUUUAUUUUGUUAUCAUUUUAAUAAUCCAGGUAAAUUAAUAUUUAUAUGAUUAUUUUUGGUACUGUGGUAAUGAAUACCUUCCGUUGUUUUGAUUUGCUCUAGUGUGUGUUCGACGCAUGUUGACUGCGGCUAGUGAAUCCUGAAAUAAUGAGGUAAAAAGUGUAACUGAUUUUAUUCUGAGAUAUAAGUGAGGGCAUCUUAUACGUAACUGAUUUUAUUUGUCCAGAAAUUCAGAAUUGCUGAUGAUAAAUUUAAUGUAAACAUGUCAGGCACCACAUUGUUUGCAAGAAUGCUGAAGGUAUUUGUAUGGAACAGAUAGUUUCCUGAUAAGAUUCUUUUUCGUAUGGAUUGUUUUCCAACAAAGGCUUUUAAAUCGUCUAAAAUCAUUAUUCUAUUGUGAAAGAAGGAUACUUGUGUUGUCACCUUCCAAUGAGAGGACGUAUAUGCUCUGUAAUUGGUGAUCUGAAUCUCAAGUUUAUCGCCACUUUCUCUCUGUAAUUCAAGUUAAUACAAAGCAUGUGUAAUGA